GUGCCACCACCAGUCUCCACCACUAUUCUGAGGCAGAAUGCACCUAUUGGCUCACAAUGCUGUGAAAGAAAACAAGAAAGUCGUGAUGAUAACAAUGCAGUGUCUUCAUUCAUAAUGGAUUGCAGUUCCCCACUCAGGAAGAGGACAUUUUUUUUAAAACUACAUGAUACAACUGAGAGCUUGGAAGCUAUCCAUGCAUAAGUUUUAAAACCCAGCAGCUUCAUGGUUUCCUCCUUCUGUUGGCCUGGCCAGUGGACACAGUGGUCACGUUCCUGGCAUGGAGAUGUCAUUCAUGGUCUCUCAGACCCAAGUGUUACCAGUGAAGGGUGUCCAGGUUCUUGGCGCUUUGAACAAAGAAUUGGACAAAACUCACAAACAAAGCAAGAAAAGAAAGAAGCAACAAAAGCAGAGAUGUAUUGAAAAUGAAAACACACUCCACAGGGUGGGAGCAGGCCGAGCAAGCAGCUCAAGGGCCCAGUUACAGAACUUUCUGGGGUUUAAAUACCCUUUAGAAGUUUCCAUUGGUUACUUGGUGUACACCCUAUGUAUAUGAAGUAGUGGCCUGUGAUCAGUCUGAUUGGUUGGAAGGGACCAAUCAGAAUGCAAACGUCUGAUUAGUUGUGGAAAGUGACCAAUUAGAGGCUGAAGUGAAGUUACAAAGUAAUACUCCCACGCAAAUGAAGACUUGGCCCACAACCAACCUGAUUGGUUGUGAGAGGGGACCAAUCAGAGGGACUUUCAGUUUUUCACCUGCAAUGCAGAAAAAGGGUGGCAGGUGAGGGGUGUUGCAAAGGGAGUAGCCUCUGGUCCUUUUGUUACUUGGGCACUUGGGCGUGGAAAGUGGGGGUUUUCCUUUUGAUUUAGUUCUAGGAAGUCAGCGUGAAUUGGCCUUACAUUCCCUGCCUCCAGACCCUAUUCUCCUGCCUCACAAGUGCUCCUAGGAGCUGUACAUGCCUGUCUUUGUCCCCAUGUAGUCAGCUCGUUACAGGUGGGUCCUGCUGGGUCUUUCGUUCUUGCUUCUCUGCUUCAAGAUGGCUAAUAAGUCCUGGUCCAGUGAGUCCCCAGUGCAGACAUAGAGCAGAAGGGAAGUGGGUCCAGUUGCAUUUCCUGCAGUUUAAUAAAGAACCCUGUGCUCUCUGGCCCAUUACCUAAAGCUGAUAUUGUGCUUGGAACGUGUAGUGUUAUCCAAUCCAGCUUUACCACUGCUAAAGCUGAUACCACGCUUUGAUCCUCUGCUUGCUCAUUUUGCCAAGUUCUUAACUGCGUGGAACUGGAAGGUGAGGGCUGGAUGAUUGAUUUUUCACCCUGCCCCCAAACUCCAACAACCGAAACCAAGGGUUCUUGAAGAGAGAGGGGCAGGGCAGCAACAGGGAGACUGAAACUUGGGGUGGGGGGGGGGCGGGGGGAGGGGGGCGGACGGAAUGUUUUUGAAGUGUGUGUUUGCCUAAGGUGUGUGUAGAAAGGUAGCUACUUUUCAGUCUCUGCCUGCCUUUAAUCCAUUACAAUGUCCUAAUUAAAAACAUUUAAAAAGCUACAUUGGAAAAUGAUCCCUGAGGCUAGAAUGCUGUUGGCACAGUGAAAAAGACGCAAUCAAUAAGUAAACAGGCAAUGUCAGCCCGGAGAGCUUUCAGAACAACAUGCCUACUCGGGGGAAAAAAAAUUACAAGUCGCUUUAGCCUAUUUAAAUAUUUUCCAAGAUCUUUGUUAAAUUUCAGGUAAUAAUAUUUCUUCCUUUGAACAAGCGUUGUAUGUUUGCCUUUGACUGAGAAUGGCCUAGGCUAGAGACCAUUUGGUAUUCAACUUGUGACUAUUUUAGUAUGGGGCUGGACCCCAAAAAUUCAUGCUCAAUGAAAUGAUUUUCACUUACUGAGAUGAAUUUACUUUUUGCUUCCUUCAGCAAUUCAUCAAUCUAAUGGAAGAAAGAGUAGCUAUCAUCAUAAUGAGAAUAGACUUCUACGAGUAUGAGUCAAUGUCAAUACUUUAUUUAAUAAUGCAAAUUCUAUUACUAUAUAUUUGGUCUCAAUCCAAAUUUGCUUUAAAUUGAGUUUCCUUGCCAUUGCACACUCCUAUCUUUCUGAACACACACCACCCCACACACACACCAUACACACUUGUUUCAUUGCGCUUCAUUUUAUUGCACUUCUCGAAGAAUGUGUUUUUUACAAAUUGAAGAUUUGUGGCAACUUUUCAUCGAGUGAGUCUAUUGGCAUCAUUUUUGCAAGAGCAUAUGCUCACUUCCUGCCUCUGUGACAGCAUUUUUUAGCAAUAACAUAUUUUUAAUGAAGGUAUGUACAUUGUUUUUUAGACAUAAUGCUAUUGCACACUUGACUAAAAUGUAGCCUAAGUAUAAUUUUUAUAUGCCAUGGGAAACUAAAAAAAGUGACUUACUUUAUUGUAAUAUUUGCUUUAUUACUUUGGUCUGGAACUGCCUCACACUAUCUCUGAAGUAUGCAUGUAUAGCUUUUCAUAACACAGAUAUCACAUUUGACCAGAUCCUAUUGUUACUGAACAAUGUUGAUGCUAACAUUGAUGAUAUCAAUCACUAUUACUGGAAUCAUUAUCAACAUAUCAAUAAAUAUUUUUAGAACAUUUAAAAAAAAAAAAAAAAA
This 2609-nucleotide long non-coding RNA is filed under the name Homo sapiens (human). Its description in RNAcentral is "long independently transcribed non-coding RNA 1215 (LINC01215)". The record is from RNAcentral. Lineage: Eukaryota; Metazoa; Chordata; Mammalia; Primates; Hominidae.